RNAcentral lists this small RNA (97 nucleotides) under Pogona vitticeps (central bearded dragon). RNAcentral's name for it is "7SK RNA (ENSPVIG00000003738.1)". It matches the Rfam family "7SK RNA", at positions 6 to 101 of the family's 331-position model. Rfam says of the family: 7SK was discovered as an abundant small nuclear RNA in the mid-70s but a possible function has only recently been suggested. The record is from Rfam by way of RNAcentral. Lineage: Eukaryota; Metazoa; Chordata; Lepidosauria; Squamata; Agamidae.
UGAGGGCAAUCUGGCUGUGACUUCUGUCGCCCCAUUCAUUGCAAGGGUUGAUUCAGUUGAUCUGGCUAGCUAGGUGGGUGUCCCCUUUUUCACUUCA